UAGUCCCAAGGACCUCUCACCCCCACCCCCCAGGCUUCAGUUGAAAUGUGGCACAAUUUGCUGUUACUUUUGUUCCUCUGUUUCCUCCCUCAUCCCAAGUUUAGAAGCAGACACCGAAAUCAGGGCCCUAACACCCAUCACCCCCUUGGAAAAUGAGGCUGGUGAUAGGAGUGAUUGUGCUUCUCACUUUUGGUACUAGAUGUGACUCUAAGGUCACCCAGCCCAUCUUACAAGAAGUAACAGAAGGUCAAGAAGUGAAUUUGCCCUGUAGUCAUGAGGACAUUGCCACUAAUAUGAAUGUAUUCUGGUACCGACAGUUCCCCAAUCAGGGGCCACAAUUCCUCAUUCAAACUUAUAAAACCAACGUGACCAACCAAAUGAUCUCUUUGACCAUCUCUGCAGACAGAAAGUCUAGCACCCUGAGCCUUCCUCCAGUGACUUUGAGAGACAAUGCUGUGUAUUACUGUAUCGAGCAGAGUGCACAGUGUGAGAGAUGA
This is a non-coding RNA of Phascolarctos cinereus (koala), 497 nucleotides long. The record is from the annotation of a RefSeq genome assembly. NCBI's taxonomy places the organism in Eukaryota, Metazoa, Chordata, Mammalia, Diprotodontia, Phascolarctidae.